This 498-nucleotide ribosomal RNA is filed under the name uncultured bacterium. Its description in RNAcentral is "partial 16S ribosomal RNA". It matches the Rfam family "Bacterial small subunit ribosomal RNA", at positions 30 to 523 of the family's 1533-position model. The record is from RNAcentral.
AUUGAACGCUGGCGGCAUGCUUUACACAUGCAAGUCGAACGGUAACAGGCCGCAAGGUGCUGACGAGUGGCGAACGGGUGAGUAAUGCAUCGGAACGUGCCCAGUCGUGGGGGAUAACGCAGCGAAAGCUGUGCUAAUACCGCAUACGAUCUAUGGAUGAAAGCGGGGGACCGUAAGGCCUCGCGCGAUUGGAGCGGCCGAUGUCAGGUUAGGUAGUUGGUGGGGUAAAGGCUCACCAAGCCAACGAUCUGUAGCUGGUCUGAGAGGACGACCAGCCACACUGGGACUGAGACACGGCCCAGACUCCUACGGGAGGCAGCAGUGGGGAAUUUUGGACAAUGGGCGCAAGCCUGAUUCAGCAAUGCCGCGCGCAGGAAGAAGGCCUUCGGGUUGUAAACUGCUUUUGUACGGAACGAAAAGGUUUGGGUUAAUACCCUGGGCCGAUGACGGUACCGUAAGAAUAAGCACCGGCUAACUACGUGCCAGCAGCCGCCGUAA